AUCUACAUCCUCUUGGCUCUGUCUCUCUAGAAAGCCUUCACUAACACGGGGUUGGAAGCGUCUCGCUCAGCGGGAGGUGAGGGGAGAAGACCACACCCAGCACCCCCACCCUGCCCUCCAAGAGAACUCUUCCAUUGUCCUCUUUCCCAUCCCUUCUGGAGGUGAGUGUUGAGCUAAGGUCACAAAACCUGCUGUCACCUGUGUCUCCUGAAGCUCCACUGGCUGUUCACAUGUCUCCUCUGGGAUCGGGGGUACUCAGCAUCGUUUGCCUGGUUCCCAGCCUUGGGCAGCUCAGCAAAACUGAGACGCAGAGUCACAUCUGCAUUUCCUCAAGCUCCCACCAUAUCCUGAAGAGCGUGGCUGAUGACCCCUGUUCAGAGAUGGGGCAUCUGCGGACCCCAGAGGCAAAGUCCCAUGGCCAGGCAGUGGCAUUGCUGAGACUUAAGCCCUCGGCCUCCCGCCUUCCCCACUGACCACGCCAGCUCUUUGGCGGCUAUUUAGGAGGGACACUGGUUAGAAUGGACAAUGAGUAAACCAUCAGCCCUAAAGGGGAAAAUGCAGGUGGCUGUGUGUGGGGAUGAGGACAUGAUAAAGACACAUGUCUUUAGUAAGUGCCAGCUGUGUGCCUAGGCUCAGCCCCUGACCUCAGCGAGUGUGGAGGCCAGAGGACCAAGACUGACCCACAUGCAGGGUACAAGGGAAGAGCAGUAUAAAUCAGAGGGCCCACCUGUGAUGACAUCCUUGAGGACCAAAGAAGCUACAAGGGAUGGAGCAGCCCAGAAAGCUCCCUAGGGAGCUACACCAGGGCCCGGGCAAGUCCAAAGACCCCCAGAAGAAGAAGGGCGAGUACAGAACAAUAGGACAUUUGAGAGAGAGAAAGAUCACAUUCCCAUAACUUUUAUUACAGUAUAUUGUUAUCAUCGUUUUACUUUAUUAUUAGUUGUUGUUAAUCUCUUACUGUGCCUAAUUUAUAAAUUAAACUUUAUCAUCACUAUGUAUAGGAAAAAACAGUAUAUACAGUCAUGCAUCAAUUAACAACGCGGACAUCCUCUGAGCAAUGCAUCAUUAGGUGGUUUCCUUGUUGUGCAACCAUCAUAGAGCGCAGUCACGCAAACCUGGCUGGUACAGCCCACUGCACCGUGUGGCCGUGUGGGGCUAAUCUUAUGGGAGCACAGUCAUGUAUGAGAAUUAAAGGGAGAAUUCCAGCACAACCAAGGCCUGCAAGAUUCCAAAGACAAGGAGACGGAAGACCCUGGGCAAGUCCCUUACUCCCUCUGGACCGGCAAAAUGAGAGGCCUGGAAACGGCUGCAGGGCCCUCUCAGCACAGAUGCCUCCCAGGAUCCUUGGCUCUCCUUGAGGCAGGGAAACCUCCUCCUAAUGAUGCUCACUUAACAGUGUCCACAGACAGUCUUGGGCCACACUGAGUGUUCCCCAAGGCCCCAGAGAGGACCAGACAGUCACCCAGAUGGGGAAGGGGCCCUGGGUCCAGAUCCCAGUGGGUGACAGAAUCUCUGUGUCUGGCUGUGUGCCGUGCUGAGGUGUUGCUGAGAAUUCCAACCCAACCCUUUG
RNAcentral lists this long non-coding RNA (1570 nucleotides) under Equus caballus (horse). Its description in RNAcentral is "lncRNA (ENSECAG00000060352.1)". The record is from RNAcentral. Lineage: Eukaryota; Metazoa; Chordata; Mammalia; Perissodactyla; Equidae.